This 484-nucleotide ribosomal RNA is filed under the name uncultured bacterium. Its description in RNAcentral is "partial 16S ribosomal RNA". It matches the Rfam family "Bacterial small subunit ribosomal RNA", at positions 28 to 523 of the family's 1533-position model. The record is from RNAcentral.
GACGAACGCUGGCGGCGUGCUUAACACAUGCAAGUCGAACGAUGAAGCCGGAGCUUGCUCUGGUGAAUUAGUGGCGAACGGGUGAGUAACACGUGAGUAACCUGCCCUUGACUCUGGGAUAACUGCUAGAAAUGGUAGCUAAUACCGGAUACGACCCUCGGAGGCAUCUCCAGGGGGUGGAAAGAAUUUCGGUCAAGGAUGGACUCGCGGCCUAUCAGCUAGUUGGUGAGGUAACGGCUCACCAAGGCGACGACGGGUAGGCGGCCGGAGAGGGUGAGCAGCCACACUGGAACUGAGACACUGCCCAGACUCCUACGGGAGGCAGGAGUGGGGAAUAUGGCACAAUGGGCGCAAGCCUGAUGCAGCAACGCCGCGUGAGGGAUGACGGCCUUCGGGUUGUAAACCUCUUUUAGUAGGGAAGAAGCGAAAGUGACGGUACCUGCAGAAAAAGCACCGGCUAACUACGUGCCAGCCGCCGCCGUAA